AGAAAAACAUCACAGCUGAGUCUGGACAGAACGUCAUUCUUACAUGUCAAGCUCCAAACAACAACAUCAUAGGUGUGGAGUGGAACAGAGCUGACCUGAGAGAUGAAUAUAUACUUUCGUACAGAGACAAGCAGUUUGAUCCAGACAACCAGCAUCCAUCUUUUAUGAACCGGGUGGAUCUGCAGGACAGACAGAUGAAGGAUGGAGACGUGUCUUUGAUUUUGAAGAAUGUGACAAUUAAUGACACUGGUAUAUACAAGUGUCGUGUCUUCACUGGAGAGACAAGAUCAUGGGAGACCAUCAACACCUUCAACCUGACUGUUUCAGGUCAGACAAGAGGAGACACAGAGGAUGGAGCUGUUGGACUGAUAGUUGGUCUGUCAGUUUCUGCUGCUGUUCUUCUUGUUGCUGCUGUUGUUGGUUUUUUGAUAUACAGAAAAUGUAACGAAACAAAACAGAGUCAGCAUUCAUACAAGCCUCCUGAUGAACUGCACCAUGGAAAUGGCUCAGCUAUUCACACAGAAUCAGAAAAGCCUGCAUUGCUAAAUCAAACAUAAGGAUAAUCUGUGACUGUAGAGACUAAAACGAUAACAUCCAAGUAAAAAAAAAACAGAGGAGUCCAAAGAGUUUUUCCAGGAUGGACGAUAGUUUGAUAAAUACUUGGGCUGAAAUAACAGAGCGGUGAACAUCAUGCCCACAAUAUUUUCACUUUGCCUGAAGUAAGACUGAAAAAAGUGAUUAUAAAACCAAGAAGAACACAAGUUGAGGUCACCAAAACUGUUCAAGUCAGCUGAUCAUCUCGGUGUUACGUUCAUGUUACGUUCUUUUUAUUUAGAUCUUGUUUGUAUGUGUUUGUUCAUGUUUUCACGAAAAGAAAAGUUACAUAUAUAUUUUAAGAUUUUCUAUUUUUAUUUUAGAGAAGGUUUUCAGUUUGACUCAAAGCUCAACUUCCACUGAUGAUUAGAAAAAAAUAACUGUUUGUUCCCUCAGUAUUAAUUAAUUCAGUGUCUUGUAUGUAAUGGAAUCAGAAUCAUUGAAUGAGUUUUUCAGGUUUAGCAGCUGUUUGUAAGAUCAAACGGAUUCUCAUGUAUUGAUCAGGUGUUACAGUAACCUUAUGUACUAUAUGAUGGGGCUGGGUUUGUUGUUGUUGAUACCCUGCAGCAGAUAAACAAAUGUAACAGAGGCUGUUCCCUUUAACAGGAAGUAAUAAAUUGGUGAGUGGAAAGUU
This is a non-coding RNA of Maylandia zebra (zebra mbuna), 1228 nucleotides long. NCBI's taxonomy places the organism in Eukaryota, Metazoa, Chordata, Actinopteri, Cichliformes, Cichlidae. The record is from RefSeq and is a predicted model, not a curated record.